RNA transcript from Galleria mellonella (greater wax moth), 3143 nucleotides. It is a transcript of the gene named serendipity locus protein alpha, with no coding region annotated. NCBI's taxonomy places the organism in Eukaryota, Metazoa, Arthropoda, Insecta, Lepidoptera, Pyralidae. The record is from RefSeq and is a predicted model, not a curated record. The transcript is spliced from 11 exons.
UCUCGAUGAUAACGGUGAGGAAGGAAUUGUUUUUUGAAAAUAACGAAUAAUGAGUAUUCGGUGAUAGGAAAUAUAACUUUAUUUAAAUUCAAUUUCAUUAUUAUGAAUUUAUUUAUAUCUACAAAUGAAAAAUCAAACUUUUUAAGUGUCUAUCAUCGAAAUAUAACAAUUAAUUAACUUUUCUGUGGUUGUAAAUAAAUGAAUACGAUAGAAAACUAUUAUUUUUCUAAAUUUUCAGUAUUACAAACUAGUAUCAAAUUAAAUAAAAUGGAGAGUUCUGACUUAGAAUUAUUGGAAUUCUUACCUAUGCCGCUGGAUCCUCGCUUUGCUGUGAAACAUAUUGUGGUAUAAUUGAGUUAAUGAUUUGUGCAAGGAAUUCUAUUAACCAAAUUUCGUCCAAUAAGUUUACGAAUUCAUAAGAAAAUACUAUCAUUUGAUAAUGAUUUAGAGGAUGAUAAUAUUAACAGGAUUCAAGAUAUGGUUGCCUUGUGUACAAGCCAAAUAAAAAAAAAUGUUCUGAAUUUGAUGGACAUAUUUAAAGUAGAACAUUGUCAACAGCUAUCCCUUCAGGAAAGUCGCCAAUUCACUAUUGAAAGGUUAACAUGGUGCAUGAAUAGACUGCUAUUAAUUGAACAACAGUUGUCAUCUAAUGUUACAACCAAUGAUGAGAAUAAUGAAUCUGUCUUCAUUAUACCAAUGCAUUUUGUUAAUUGGAUUGACUAUACAUUUGAAACACUUGCUAAGCUUUCCGAAACUAUUUACAGGACUGAUUAUAAAAAGACUGAAAACAUUUAUCAACAAUGGAAAGAUGAUGUGGUUGACUCUGUGACUGUGUUGUAUAAAUGUAUUGAUGAACUCUUACUUUCUGCUAUGACAUUAUGCAGACAUUGUAUUACUUCUGAUCAAUAUAUCGUAAAAGCAAGAUGUCAAGUGGUUCUAAGAGAAACAAAAGCAUUAUUUAGUGAGCUUGUGGAGGAAACACCCAGUGAAACAUUCAAAGUCACUCCAGACACAUUAAAAACACAAAUUAAACCUUCCAAUGUGAAUGUUCUUAUAGAUGUAUUGAAAGAUGUUUUAUAUGUGUUAGAAACAAACACAAAUACAGCAUUAUUGGCAUUGUUAGUGUAUUGCUUCAGUAAUAGCAAAACACCUGUAGAAAUAUUAAGAGAACAUUUCAAUAAAAAUACAAAAGGAGGUUGUUCUUGUACUCAUAGUUUGGGAAACGUUUCAGAUGAAUGUUCUGUUAUAAAGGAAUUUGAUUUGUACAAUGAGAGGCUUAUGCAAAUUGGAUUAUUUGCCAUCUCAUGCUCAUCUGAUCAAAACAGAAUUUUAAUUCUUCGUAGUGGUUUAGCAAGCUUAGAAGCUUUAGACCCACAUCUAGUUCCAGCUGUAAUGGUUUCUGCUAAUUCCAACCAUAGCAUUAUGUUGAUGAGAAUUUGGCAGCAAGAAGUACAGGAGAUAAGAGAUAAUGUCUUUUUGAUUGUGGAUCCUGCUGCAUUUACUGAGAAAUCAAAACAAAUAAUGCACCAAGUACUCUUAGAGUUAAUAAAGGCAAACUGUUACAUUAAUAGUAAAGUAUGCUCUAUUAUAAAUAUAGGUUGUACAUUACAUGAAUUCUUUUCUGUUUACAAUAAAUAUGAACCAAAUGCUUUGAUGCACCGUGAAGAGUUAUUGCCUCUGUUGGCAGAUCUGGAAAAAGUACAAAUGGAAUGUAAAAUCGUAAGCAAUAUUUUAAGUUCAGGCGACGAUUUUAUAUAUGAAAUUAAAAAAAGUAUACCCAAUAAAGAACUAUCUUUAGAGCAGCUGUUGAAGCGUUUAAAACUUCUAUACACUAUGGUCAAUAGAAUUAAUGAAUUACUUCAUCCAAAAGAGAAUGAGGAUCAGUUAUUCGCUGACGAUUUUUGUGAAUACGAUCCACCAAGAAAUAAAAAUGUUACUCACUCAAUACUGCCUAUUAAUACUAAUACAUAUGUCAAUUCUCCAAGAAAGCACAAUAAUUUAACUAGAAGUGUUUUUGCUAGAACUACAAAUGUGCGAUUAUCGAGAAAUAACUUUAUAUUAUCGAAGUUGACGAAACAUUUAAAAGAUAAAACAGGAUAUCGGCGCGAUGUAUUAAGCUACUCGGCAAGACUGGAUGAACUGUUAAAUGAAGAAAAUAAUUGUAAUGCAAAUAAUACCGAAAAAAAUAAAUUAUUAAGUAUUCGUGAACCGUCAGUACUAUUUAUGUCACCACUGAAGAGUAGAUCAUCACUACGAAGAGCAGUUUUAAACAGUCAUUACAAAUUGCAACAUUUAAAAAAAACAGAAAACAAAACAAGCUUAGAUAAAUCGGUUACAGAGAAAGAAAAUCUUUUUGAUGAAACAACAAGUCUACAGAUUACAGAUGUUUUGAAUGAAAUAAAUGAUUUAACGAAUGUUCUGUCAACAACUAAAGACAUAUGUAAGAAGAGAGCUACGAGUAAUAUUGAAUAUAACAAUGAGAAAAGUAUCCUAACUUUAAAAGUAAAUGAACAAAAUACGGCUACUUCUAAAUAUAUAUGGAAUAUUCCGGUAAAUAGUAAUAUUGAGGAAAGAUCAUUAGACGAGAAUGAAAUGAUUUCAAACGUAUCAAAUUUGACACAACCUUCAGAUGUUACUACUCCAGAGAGAAUAAGCGACUUGGAUCUUGUUGAAAGUAAACUAAAUAGCUUAAAAUAUAGUUUCGGAUAUUGUUUCAACAGAAAAUAUCAACGAUAACAUUAGCUUUAAUAGAACAUCCAAAACAGACAACGAAGAAAGGAUACCAACAGGUUUAGUAAGAUUGAUUGUAACCACAAUGGAGAAGUCUUUAAACAAAACAGAGGACAGUGAAGCGCGAGCUAUUUAUUGGUAUCCCACCCCUUGCAGUUUCAGGGCUGAGGGAGGGUAUACCUGCUACAGUUGCAGAGAAUCUCUUCACUGCUUGCCAGGUAAUGCUGGCCUCUUGGCCUUCUGCUAUGGUCGUAGACCAUACUGUAGUAAUGGAGUGUGUUCUGAAGUUAGCGGGGAAAAGUGCCAAGACACCCACAUAGCGAAUACUACUAUCGAGGCUUAUGAUGACGUGGUUACACAGCCAACAAAAGUAGAUGCAGUAGCAUAAAUGCUGACUUAUAUGUAUCAAAAUA